UUUUAGCUAUGUGCCCUUUGUGAAUGUGUUACUGACACCAGCUCAUUUAAUCUUCUUAUCAACCUUAAGGGCGAAAACACCCUCACUGAUAACCUUGCCACGCAUAGUAGACAGAUGCAGCGCUACAAUCCCACUGUGGAGAGAUCUGGAGGACAGUGAUGGAGGAAAAUCUUCCCAGUGGGCAGACUUGAGCAGUUCAUCUGGUUGUUUGUUUUGCCUGGAAGGAGCAAUGGCUAGAGGCCUCUCACUGUUGUGGUCUCUCCCGUUGCGGAGCACAGGCUCCGGACGCGCAGGCUCAGCGGCCAUGGCUCACGGGCCCAGCUGCUCCGUGGCAUGUGGGAUCCUCCCGGACCGGGGCACGAACCUGUGUGCCCUGCAUCGGCAGGCGGACUCUCAACCACUGUGCCACCAGGGAAGCCCCAGGUAGGAUUAUUGAUGUCACAGUACCUUCAGUAAUGAAGGUUUG
This is a long non-coding RNA of Lagenorhynchus albirostris (white-beaked dolphin), 466 nucleotides long. RefSeq lists it as uncharacterized. The record is from RefSeq and is a predicted model, not a curated record. Lineage: Eukaryota; Metazoa; Chordata; Mammalia; Artiodactyla; Delphinidae. The transcript has 3 exons.